RNAcentral lists this ribosomal RNA (484 nucleotides) under uncultured bacterium. Its description in RNAcentral is "partial 16S ribosomal RNA". It matches the Rfam family "Bacterial small subunit ribosomal RNA", at positions 30 to 507 of the family's 1533-position model. The record is from RNAcentral.
AUCGAACGCUGGCGGCAGGCUUAACACAUGCAAGUCGAGCGGAAGAAGGGAGCUUGCUCCUGGAGUCAGCGGCGGAAGGGUGAGUAAUGCCUAGGAAUCUGCCUGGUAGGGGGGGAUAACGUCCGGAAAAGGGUGCUAAUACCGCAUACGUCCAGAGGGAGAAAGUGGGGGAUCUUCGGACCUCACGCUAUCAGAGGAGCCUAGGUCGGAUUUGCUAGUUGGUGGGGUAAAGGCCUACCAAGGCGACGAUCCGUAACUGGUCUGAGAGGAUGAUCAGUCACCCUGGAGCUUGGCCACGGUCCAGGCUCCUGCGGGACGCCGCAGUGGGGAAUAUUGGACAAUGGGCGGGAGCCUGGUCCAGCCAUGCCGCGUGUGUUGAGGCGGUCUUCGGAUUGUAAAGCCCUUUAAGUUGUGAGGAAGGGCAGUAAGUUGAUACCUUGCUGUUUUGACGUUACCGGCAGAAUAAGCACCGGCUAACUUCGUG